GCUACGGGUGGCUGCAGUGGGGAAUAUUGCACAAUGGGGGAAACCCUGAUGCAGCGACGCCGCGUGAGUGAAGAAGUAUCUCGGUACGUAAAGCUCUAUCAGCCGGGAAGAAAAUGACGGUACCUGACUAAGAAGCCCCGGCUAAAUACGUGCCAGCAGCCGCGGUAAUACGUAUGGGGCACGCGUUAUCCGGAUUUACUGGGUGUAAAGGGAGCGUAGGCGGCCUGCCAAGUCUGGUGUGAAAACCCGGGGCCCAACCCCGGGCCUGCAUUGGAAACUGGCGGGCUGGAGUGUCGGAGGGGUAGGCGGAAUGCCUGGUGUAGCGGUGAAAUGCGUAGAUAGUAGGAGGAACACCGGUGGCGAAGGCGGCCUGCUGGACGAUGACUGACGCUGAGGCUCGAAAGCGUGGGGAGCAAACAGGAUUAGAUACCCCAGUAGUC
RNAcentral lists this ribosomal RNA (440 nucleotides) under uncultured bacterium. RNAcentral's name for it is "partial 16S ribosomal RNA". It matches the Rfam family "Bacterial small subunit ribosomal RNA", at positions 338 to 795 of the family's 1533-position model. The record is from RNAcentral.